Molecule: ribosomal RNA, 740 nt
Filed under: uncultured bacterium
Lineage: Bacteria
Description: bacterial SSU rRNA
Rfam family: Bacterial small subunit ribosomal RNA
Source: RNAcentral
ACGCUAGCGGGAGGCCUAACACAUGCAAGCCGAGCGGUAUUUGUUCUUCGGAACAGAGAGAGCGGCGUACGGGUGCGGAACACGUGUGCAACCUGCCUUUAUCUGGGGGAUAGCCUUUCGAAAGGAAGAUUAAUACCCCAUAAUAUAUUUUACGGCAUCGUGGAAUAUUGAAAACUCCGGUGGAUAGAGAUGGGCACGCGCAAGAUUAGAUAGUUGGUGAGGUAACGGCUCACCAAGUCAGUGAUCUUUAGGGGGCCUGAGAGGGUGAUCCCCCACACUGGUACUGAGACACGGACCAGACUCCUACGGGAGGCAGCAGUGAGGAAUAUUGGACAAUGGGUGCAAGCCUGAUCCAGCCAUCCCGCGUGAAGGACUAAGGCCCUAUGGGUUGUAAACUUCUUUUAUACUGGGAUAAACCUACUUACGUGUAAGUAGCUGAAGGUACAGUAUGAAUAAGCACCGGCUAACUCCGUGCCAGCAGCCGCGGUAAUACGGAGGGUGCAAGCGUUAUCCGGAUUUAUUGGGUUUAAAGGGUCCGUAGGCGGAUUCGUAAGUCAGUGGUGAAAUCUCAUAGCUUAACUAUGAAACUGCCAUUGAUACUGCGAGUCUUGAGUGAGAUUGAGGUAGCUGGAAUAAGUAGUGUAGCGGUGAAAUGCAUAGAUAUUACUUAGAACACCAAUUGCGAAGGCAGGUUACCAAGUCUUAACUGACGCUGAGGGACGAAAGCGUGGGGAGCGAAC